GAUAUUGUUUGGUUUGCAGUUAAAAGCUCGUAGUUGGAUUUCGGGUGGGUGUCGCCGGUCUGCCUCUGGUAUGUACUGGCGCUGCUCACCUUUCUGCCGGGGACGGGCUCCUGGGCUUAACUGUCUGGGACUCGGAGUCGGCGUUGUUACUUUGAGUAAAUUAGAGUGUUCAAAGCAAGCCUUCGCUCUGAAUACAUUAGCAUGGAAUAACACGAUAGGACUCUGGCCUAUCUUGUUGGUCUGUAGGACCGGAGUAAUGAUUAAGAGGGACAGUCGGGGGCAUUCGUAUUUCAUUGUCAGAGGUGAAAUUCUUGGAUUUAUGAAAGACGAACUUCUGCGAAAGCAUUUGCCAAGGAUGUUUUCAUUGAUCAAGAACGAAAGUUGGGGGCUCGAAG
Molecule: ribosomal RNA, 395 nt
Filed under: Chlorogonium sp. MACC 607
Lineage: Eukaryota; Viridiplantae; Chlorophyta; Chlorophyceae; Chlamydomonadales; Haematococcaceae
Description: SSU rRNA
Rfam family: Eukaryotic small subunit ribosomal RNA
Source: RNAcentral